Molecule: long non-coding RNA, 651 nt
Organism: Solanum dulcamara
Lineage: Eukaryota; Viridiplantae; Streptophyta; Magnoliopsida; Solanales; Solanaceae
Exons: 4
Source: RefSeq, a predicted model, not a curated record
AGUGUUCAAGAGCAUGAAACCGAAAUAGCAAGAAAAAAAAAGAAGAGAAGAGAAGGGAAACUUAGGCUAGAAACAAGGAAAGAGCUACGAUUUUGGGAGGAGAAAAAGGCAGCCCAAAACGUUACCAAACAGUCCCUAAGUUUCAGCUGCGCUAAAGGAAAUUCCGAGGCAAGUUUUUGCGCGUUUUGGUGAAUUUCGGGAAAGGUUCAAGAGACGACGAGGCGAGCAUAGUUAAGAGUAAUCCGUAAGAGGUACAGAUGAUUGGUUUGCUGAUCCGUUUGAUUAGGACAUCCACCAUGUUGGUCGACAGUGCUCCUUUGUCCGGAGCCUUAUUUUGGGUACUGACACUUUCUGUUGUAUAUAUAUAUAUAUACGUUGUUCAGGGUACGGCGGGGCCCUGUCCCGUCAUAUGACUAGGAUAUCAUUCUGUAGAGGUCUGUAGAAAUGAGAUGUGGGUUUUGUAUAUAUGUUUUGGGUUUUGUGUGUUUCGUUAUGGCCUAUCGGCCCUCGUGCAUUAUAUCUAUUUUGUGAUCUAUUUAGAGAUCCCUUCUGAUCAUUACCUAUGUUUAUUUGAUUAAUGUACUAAGUGGGGCUAAGGGUACGUAUGGGUGCCCAACUCGGGCACCAGUCAUGGCCUAUGGAGUUGGGUCG